CAGGGAGACAACACAAUGAUUUUGAUGCCUGAGUACUUUUAUUCUUAGGCCGAAAUCCUGUCACCUUAGGUCGAUCGGUACCUCAGCUUUGAAGUCAAGGAUCAACAGCAAUGUUGAUUGCUUGAUGGAGAUUUUCAGUUCCUAAACUUUGUCUAGGUCACACCCCAAAAGGGAUGAGACUCCUGGGCCAUUAGCUCAGGUGGUUAGAGCGCACCCCUGAUAAGGGUGAGGUCCCUGGUUCAAGUCCAGGAUGGCCCAUUCGGUGUUGGGGGUUUAGCUCAGUUGGUAGAGCGCCUGCUUUGCAAGCAGGAUGUCAGGAGUUCGAGUCUCCUAACCUCCACUGACCGAACUUGAUUCCCAUCUCCAAUUUUUUGGAGUUGAGCUCGAUUGGAGUGUGAUUUGGAUGUGUCCGCUGGAUGACCCCAGCUUCCUGUCAUUCCAAGUUUUAGGUUGAUGCCUUGAAUUUGGUUGAUAAGAUGCUGGGCUCGGAUCAAAUGAUCAAGCAAUUGAUGAUUUGAUUUGAAGUUCUAGCAGAACCUUGACAACUGCAUAGGUGAGUCUGGAAAAAACAAAGCAUCUUACAGAUGCAUUGUUUUGAAUCUGAUCUUCUGAAAGGGAGAUUGGAUCUAGAACAAUGAAAAUUCUUUUGAGCAAGAGCCGAGACUCUUGAAUGUUCUUUGAUUGGUGUCGAGCCAAUCAGAGUUUGAUCUUGUUUUUAGCAAUAAAAACUUGAGAAUCUGCUUUCAACGGCGGUAAGCGUUCAAGAGGUUAAUU
RNAcentral lists this transfer RNA (774 nucleotides) under uncultured cyanobacterium. RNAcentral describes it as "partial 16S-23S ribosomal RNA intergenic spacer". The stretch from base 268 to 340 matches the Rfam family "tRNA". Lineage: Bacteria; Bacillati; Cyanobacteriota. The record is from RNAcentral.